UCCCCUCUUACACAACCCUGUGCAGGCCUCACCCGCUGAAAUGUGCUGUGUUCUUUCUCUUUCUUGGUCAACCCUGGAAUCCUCAAACCUACCACAGAAGGUGUUCUGUUUGGGCCGCUCUGCUCUGACAGAAUACCAUAGACUGGCUGGCUUAUGAACAACAGACAUUUAUUUUUCACAGCUCUGGAUGCCAGGAGACUCGGCGUCCGGUGAGAGCUCAAUUCCUGCUUUAGUUCUCUCAGGCCCCCACAUGGAGGAACGGAGGUCUCUGGGGUCUCCUUUAUUAAGUCCUUAAUUCCCUCCCAAAGGCCCCACCUCCGAACACCGACACUCGGAGGUUGCGUUUAGCGUAUGGAUUUUAUGGACGCUCGGGGGAACCACCCCGAGCGGAGUGAACCCUGGACUUCGCGUCAGCAGAGGGACGCCCAGCUCCCCCCGCGUCCUGGCGCUGUGGCCUCAGGCCAGCCACUCACCCCUGCGGGCGUCACAUUCCCCAGCUGAGGGAGAGAACGUCUACCUCUCCGCGUUGGUUUGACCCGGACCCUGUCAGCGCGUGAGGAGGAGCCAGGAGAGGAGCUCGGCAGACCGUCAGCAAACCACAAGCGACCUUUCAGUGUCCUGGUAGAACUCCCAUGUUGUAUCUAUGGGGAAGCGACACGUGAGUAACGCCAAAAGAGCAGGAGAGGCUGAAAGCGGGGCGACGUUUGCAGCCUGGCCGCCUGGCGGUCCAUCCGCGUUGCUCUACUCCCAUCUGCUGAUAAGAGGCUGCUACUUCGCCAGGAGCUCCUUGCCCGCCCUCACCACGACCAAGGCAACCCAAGUCUGAGAACCCACUGCAGUCGCCACUGGAAGCAAUGUUUGUUACCUGCAGAAUGAACCCAGGGACUUCUCUAAAGCAAAUGAAGGCUUGGCCAGGAGAACAAGCGGGCUUCUCAGGUGGGUGAUGCGUCUCCACGUUGAAGCCCCAUGUUGUCGCAUGGAGGAUGCACAGAGAAGGUGACGUCAGCCUGUCUGUCAACCUGCCUACCCUCGGGAAGUUAGGUUGUAGUCACACUGGCCCAUGCAUAGAGACAAAAGUGAUCAACAACCUAGGAAAGCCAAGCCAGCAGAUGCACUUACCAACACACCUUUGCAUUCACAAAUAUGAGCCAAGAGUCAGUAGAUACUUGAAGGGGGGGAAAAAAGUAGCAUGAAUGAGAAAAACCAAUAUGAGGAAAUAUAACUUUCAACCUCAGGGCAAAGAAGUCAGGGAAUAGAAAAGAGCUGUUAGAAUCCCAGGGAAAAGUCCCAUUAUGAAAUCCAAAAACCAAAAGUAGGAACACUAAGUGAGUUUUUGGAAAUUAAAAAUAUCCUGAACUUUAAACAAGAAAAAAAAAA
Non-coding RNA from Odocoileus virginianus texanus, 1377 nucleotides. Lineage: Eukaryota; Metazoa; Chordata; Mammalia; Artiodactyla; Cervidae. The record is from RefSeq and is a predicted model, not a curated record.